Long non-coding RNA from Phalaenopsis equestris, 502 nucleotides. RefSeq lists it as uncharacterized. The transcript has 3 exons. The record is from RefSeq and is a predicted model, not a curated record. Lineage: Eukaryota; Viridiplantae; Streptophyta; Magnoliopsida; Asparagales; Orchidaceae.
AUACGGUUAUUCCACAAGCUGAAUUUAUUGCAGCAUGGUGGACUAAAGCUUCAAAGCGGCAACAGUGGAAGCGCGAAGGCCUCCUAAACCAGAGCUGAUCCUCUCCUCCCAUUUCCAGGAAUUUACCUUCUUGAAAUCUAUGGUUUUCGUCUGAGAAGAGCGCUGCAAGCCGAUCCAGGUUUUCUUCUUUGAAGUUUCGUUUUCAGUGCGACCGGAUCCUGAGCUAGUUCGCGGAAGAUAGGUAUAGGAUAUCUUGGAACAAUGAGGGAAAUAUCUCUUUUGGAGAUUAUUACGGAUAAUCAAGGCGGCCGUGGAGAAUCAGUUCUUGCAUCGAUAAAAUUUGCGGUUAUACCAAUUGUGAAGGUUUUCACGAUGUGCUUUCUGGGGUUUCUGAUGUCUUCUAAGUAUGUCAACAUUCUAUCUGCAAAUGGUCGGAAACUUCUCAAUGGACUAGUUUUUUCACUUCUUCUUCCCUGUUUGAUAUUCUCACGGAAGAGCAAUC